AUUGAACGCUGGCGGCAUGCCUUACACAUGCAAGUCGAACGACAGCACGGGUGCUUGCACCUGGUGGCGAGUGGCGAACGGGUGAGUAAUACAUCGGAACGUACCUUAUCGUGGGGAUAACGCAGCGAAAGUUGCGCUAAUACCGCAUACGCCCUGAGGGGGAAAGCGGGGGACCGUAAGGCCUCGCGCGAUUAGAGCGGCCGAUGUCUGAUUAGCUUGCUGGUGAGGUAAAAGCUCACCAAGGCGAUGAUCAGUAGCUGGUCUGAGAGAACGAUCAGCCACACUGGGACUGAGACACGGCCCAGACUCCUACGGGAGGCAGCAGUGGGGAAUUUUGGACAAUGGGGGCAACCCUGAUCCAGCAAUGCCGCGUGAGUGAAGAAGGCCUUCGGGUUGUAAAGCUCUUUUGUCAGGGAAGAAACAGCAGCUCUAACACAGUCUGCGAAUGACGGUACCUGAAGAAUAAGCACCAGCUAACUACGUGCCAGCCGCCGCAGUAA
Molecule: ribosomal RNA, 500 nt
Filed under: uncultured bacterium
Lineage: Bacteria
Description: partial 16S ribosomal RNA
Rfam family: Bacterial small subunit ribosomal RNA
Source: RNAcentral